CGUAGGCAGCAAGCGUUGUUCGGAGUUACUGGGCGUAAAGAGUACGUAGGCGGUUUGCUAAGUCUGGUGUGAAAUCUCCUGGCUUAACUGGGAGGGUGCGCUAGAUACUGGCAGGCUUGAGUAUGGGAGAGGAGAGUGGAAUUCCUGGUGUAGCGGUGAAAUGCGUAGAUAUCAGGAGGAACGCCGGUGGUGUAGACGGCUCUCUGGACCAUUACUGACGCUGAGGUACGAAAGCGUGGGUAGCAAACAGGGUUAGAUACCCUGGUAGUCCACGCCCUAAACGAUGCGGACUUGGUGUAGGCAGUUCAGUCUGUCUGUGCCGGAGCUAACGCGUUAAGUCCGCCGCCUGGGGAGUACGGUCGCAAGGCUG
This 370-nucleotide ribosomal RNA is filed under the name uncultured organism. Its description in RNAcentral is "bacterial SSU rRNA". It matches the Rfam family "Bacterial small subunit ribosomal RNA", at positions 526 to 896 of the family's 1533-position model. The record is from RNAcentral.